GGAUACUUGCUAAUUUAACGGUGUGAAAGAAUCGGAAUCGGUUGAAUUUUUAAUAGAAAAUUCUAUUCACUACCUUGAUAAAGAUCAAUAACUUCGAUCUUAAUUGAAGGAUCCGAUCAUCCAUUUUAGAACGUCGUUCGAUUCGACCGUUCAUUUUAUGCCCGCUUGAUGGACUUUAUUAUGAUUUCGAAAAAUUACGAAAUUUAUUUUCUAGAAGUUUCAAUUACUCUAGAUCAUAUUUAACGGAGCGGAUCGUCGAUUCGGAAGCUCCAUCAUUGAAACACUUAUGAGUACGAAGCUCUCUAUACUCAUAAGAGUAUAGUAGCCCUACUAUAUAUAUAUAUAUAAGAGAGAGAAGAGAGAGAGAGAGAGAGAGAGAGUGAGCUAGAAUGCUAUCGGUAGCAAACCGGCUCUGUUGCCACCCAUUUGUUUCGAUGAUGGAGCCUUAAAGACGAUCGGGCACUGUUGAACAGAUGCUAUACCACUUGAAAAUCUAGAAACCAAACAAAUCUUUUCGACAUUAUUAACCAAUGAUCAAAGAGGUGUCAAAAGGGUGAAUGUAAGGCGAGAAGAGGCGUGGUCGCGGCGUAACGGGGGAAACCCCGCCUAAAUGCAAUGGAAACGGGGAGGGAGGAAAGUCGGGAAACCGAGGGAGAAGAAGAGCGGAUGACUCGCGAGCGGAGGACAAAGCCUAGCAGCACGGGGAGAGGAGAGCAAGGUCAGGCCAUGCAGGGGUACCGCCCACGGGGGCUACAUUGAGAAAAGAGCGGAAAAGCAGGAAAGAGGAUGGCGGAGAGACGCAAGGGAGAGAGCAGUCAACGGGCGGAGCAGCGAUGGAGGGCUCGGCAGAAAAACAAAAGGGGUGGGCACGGAGCCCGGGGGCGCGAAGAGGAGUCGAGCGGAGCGGCGUGGAGGGCGGCGGCGCGCGCGUAGAGAGAGAGGAGAGAGAGAAGAGAGAGAGUAGAGAGAGAGAGAGAUAGAUAGCCGCGGGGAGGCAGGGAGUGGAGGAGCUGAGAGGAAGGGCAGAGCGCGAGGGAGGGGCGACGAGGGAGGUUGGCGGGCAGGGGCGACGGGAGAAGGGGGAGCGGGGAAGCUGAGGAAGGGAAGCCACCGGACACCGUGAGGGUGCGCUAAAGAAGGAGAAAAAGACGGGGAGGGGAAAAUCGGAGGUGCAGAGGGGAAAAGGAAGGGGAAGGAGAGGAGGAAAGAUGGCGGGAAAGGGAGCGGCAACGGGAUGGACAAGGGCGGGGAGCAAAAAGAAGGUGGAAAGGGGAGAAGGGGGGUGGGAAAGGAGGGACCGGAUAAAGGUGAAUGAGAGGGCUGGGGGGAGUCGUGCGAGACAAUCGGGGCAGGGGACAGGGAGGGGGGAGAGAAGCGAGGGUUCGGCGCGGGAUUGAGCUGCGGCGCAGUACCGGCGGCGAGCCGCGCCGGGGGGGAGGGCACGGGCGAGCGCCUCGGAGGGGGGAACAGGCCCGGCGGGGCGGGGGCGAGGGGCGCGGCGGGGACGGCGGGGCUGUGGGGCCGGGGAGGGCCGCGGGAGAGCGCCAACGGAGCACAUAAGAGAGGGGAACAGGUAGGUGGGGGAAGGGUGGAAAAAGGAAAGGGGGGGAAGGGAGGGCGAGGGCGAGCGAAGCGAAAGGGGGAGAAGCGGGAGGGGCGAAGAGGGGGCAAAGUAAAAAGCAGCCGCGGAAGGAAGCGGCUGGAAGAGAAGUGACUGGAGAGCAGGGGAGAGAGGGAGGGGAGGCGGAAGCGACGAAGGGGGGGAGGGGGGCGACCCAAACGACCGAGACGGGGGGCCAGGGCGGGACGGGUCGGAGGGAAGGGGUAGACGGAGCGAGGGGGGGGAGGCGCGGGCGGGAGGCGAGGGCAGGGAGAGGGAAGGGGGGCGGCGGAUAAGGCAACGGGGGAGCGGCGGGAGGGGUGAGGGGCGGAGCACGGGGGAGGUAGGUAGCGGCGGAGGACGAAGGGGGGGGGGACGAGGGCAGAAGUAAACGGGAGGGCGGCGGAGAGGAGGAAGGCUGGGGGAGGGGAACGAGCGACCCGCCAGCAAGAAGAAGGCGGGGGGGCCAACCACCAGCCCAAAGGCGGAAGCCCAGGAGGAGGACGAGCGGGGAGGCGGAGAGAGGGGAAGCAGAAGCGGGGGUCCACCCCGAGGGGGCCAGUGAGGGAGAGGGCGCGCGGGCGGGGGCGGGGACACAGAGGCUCGAUGGACAAGGGGAAGGAGGGCGGGCCGGACCGGGUGGGCAAGCGUGGGGACGCGAGUCAGGGAAAACACGCAAGGCACGGAGGAGAACACGGAGAGCAGAGCGAAACGGGCUGGCGGGAGGCAAAGGAGGCGGAAGGGCCGGCCAACGGAGAGGACGGGCAAGCGACAGAAAGGAGGAAUGGAACCAGUGGGCAAGAGAAGCGGGCCGAGGGCCGCCAGGUGGAGGGCGGCGGAGAGAGUGGGAGAGCGCCGGGAAGCACGCGAGGAAGGGCAGGCGGCCGGGGGGCAAAAAAGGGGGUGAAGAGCGGGGGCAAGGACGCAGCGGAAGGGGGAGGGGGAAGCAGACAAAAGGCCCAAGAGAGUUGGAAGAGAGGGCGAGGGAGGGGCGCGGUGGGGAUAAGGAAGAAAGGAAGGGCGGCGCCGUCCGGGCGAGGAGCGAAGAGGCGCGGAGGAAAGAGGGGGGCGGCAGAGGCGCGGGGGGAACGGGAGAGAGAGGCGGCAUGGAGGAGACCCACAGAAAGGUGGGGAGGCAGAGGGCGAGGCGAGUGGGGGGAGGCGAGGGGAAGGCCAGGGGGAAGAGACGACAAGAAGAUAAAAAAAGAAAAGGGUAGGGCACAGGGCGAGCGACGGGAGUGAAGGCGGAGACCGAAAAGCGGGGGGGGGGGUGGCCCGCGUGCGGGGAUGACGGAGCAGGGAAAAGCGCGAGGGAUGCCGCGGCGAGGAGGGACGAACGGGGAGCGGCAGGGCCAGAGUGAGGGGGGAGGAGGGGCGGAUGGAGAAGGGGGAGCGGCGAGCAGGGAAGCGCAGCGCAGGGGGGACGGGGGAGGAGAGAUCGCAAAGGGGAAGGGAGAGGGACGGGACGCAGGGAACAAGGGACCAGAGCCGCAACCGAAGCUGCGCAACGCGGCGCGCAUAAAGGGGGGGGAAUCGAGAGGGGAGGGGAGGGGAGGGGCGAGGCCGGAGGGCGGGGGGGGGGGGCGACUCACACAGCGAAAAGGCGGAGAGAAAAAAGCCGGGGGGUGGAACAGCCAGGGGGGGGGGGAGGAGGAGCAAGCGGAGGAGGGCCAGAGCGGGACCCGCGGGGGAGGGGGGGGGGGAGCGCGCGCGCGAGCACGCAGGACCCGGGGGGAGGAAAGGCGCGGUAGCGCGCGCGCAAGAGGAUAGGGUGGGGCACCAGGGAUGGGCGCGGGGCGCGCGCAAAGGCGACAACCAGGGCCGGCACAACGCGGGGGGAGGGGCGGGUAGGGGGGCGGGGCCCAGGCGAGGCGGCGCCCGGAAGGGGAAGCCCGCAACAAAGACAACGAACACAAAGGGGAGCGCCAACGUAGGAUGGGGGGGGCGGCAGCGGGAUGGCCCGGGGGGGGGGGGACCAGGGAGGGGCGAGCCGCCGGGGGAGCACAAUCAAACACUGAGGGGGAGGAGCGGACAGGGAGAGGGAGAGAGGAAAGGUAGGGAGAGGAGAAAAAGGGGGCGAAGGGCGGGGGAGGGGGGGCGAGGGGCCCGAGGAUGACGCGCCCGCCCAAGGCGGGAGGGGCCCGGCACGGGGCCAGGAGCCAGGAAAGGGGCCGCGAAGGGCGGCGGGUGGACGGGCGGAGGGAGGGGGAAUCGCGGGGGGCGCAAGCCACGAGGACAGAUGGGCACGCCGAGGGCGACAGGAGGGGGGAGACAGAAACGGCAAUAGGAUGGAACGGCCAGAAAAAAGGGGCGAUGGGGCAAGCGGGGCCAGGGGCACAAGGCACAACACAAGAAGCGGAGAGGGGCACGAAGCGAAGGAGGAGGGGACGAGACGAACCAAACGAAGGACCACGAGGCGGGGAAAAGGGGAAGCGCGACAUGAGGGGGGCGCAGAGAAAGCACGGCGGGAGGCGGGGCACAGGAGGGCAGGGAGCAGGGGCCGGGCAGACGGGGGAAAAAGGGAGGGACGCCAGAGCAAGGGGGACCGGGAGAGGGAGCAAGCGAGGGGGAUGCAAGAGCGGAGGAAAAGGCAGCAAGGGGGCAAGGUAGGAGCCGAAAGGACACACGCGGCGGCCAGGGGCGCGGGCGGGCACCAAAGCAGCGGCACACGCGGCAACCGAGAGCGGGCGAAAGCCGGCAGCGGGGAAGCGGGCCGGGCGCCGGAAAGGGCUGCGGAGCGCCCCCAAACCGAGCGCAGAGCGAGGGAUGGGUAUGGGCCAAAGAGAAAGAGAGCAGAGGGUGGAAGAUGACAAGGGGAGAGGCGAGAGGAAAACCGGCAGAGCACACCCCGCCCCUCGCGCAGGGCGCGGGGGCAGCCGGGGCGGGCGCGCGCUGAAAAGGAAAGAAAGGAGGGGGGGCCGUGGGGGAACCCGCAGAGCACCCGAGGGGGAGCGGGGAGAAGAGGAAGAGCGCGGGCGAGGAGUCGAGGAGAGGAAGGCUGAACCAACCGCGCGAUCAACCCACGAGGGGCCGGGGGUUUGGGAGGAGAGGGGAAGGGAGGGGGGGCGGAUGAGAGGGCCAAACGAAGAGGGGGAGGGGGACGCAGGGGACGCGGGGGGGAGAGGGCCGAGGGAGGGGCGAAAGAGGGCAAAAAGCAGCGCCGAGAAAGCGAAGAGAGGGAAAAAAGAGCAGGAAAGGAGGUGUGGCCGGGGGAAAGAGGGGGGCAGAGGAGGGAGGAGAGGGUAAAAAGGAAGGCGCGCAGAGCGCGAAAGGGCAGGGGGGGCGAAAAGCGGGCACACCGCGGGCAGAGAGCGAAGCGUCGGGAGACGGGACCGCGGGAGACAAGCGGAAGCACGGCGGGCGCACACGAUGCGGCACCCGCGAGCAAGAGCAAGGAGGAGACGGGGCACAACGACAAAAGGCCGAGGAGGCGAACGAAGUAUGUGUAGUGAGUGUGAAUAGGAGCAAGAGGAAGCAAGACGAGAGAGACAGCCAGAGGAGAGCAGACAUGGCCAAACAGACACCACCAGCUGGGGCAGCAGGCAGAGAGGGAGGGGCGGCGGGCAAAGAAAGACAGGAGGCGAGGCCGCGCGAGGGGGGGCAAGACGGGAAAAGGGCGUAAGGGUCGACCGCGGGAGCGGGGAGGAAGGAAGAGAGAAGGACAGAAGAGGGGCGACGAUGAGAAGCAAGGACGGACGAGAGGAAGAGGGAGAACGAGGUGACAGACGAUGAGAAGCGCGCGCAGAGAGAUUGAAGGAGACGACGCGAUGAGAGGCAAGAAAACACAGAGGAAUGAGAGCGAGCCGACAGAGAGGAAAGGAGCGGAACAGCCCCCACCGCCAAACGAAGCAGCGGGGAGGCGAAGAGGGUCAGCCGCUAAGAGGCGAAACCGAGAGAGACAGGGCGGGGAAAAGGGCGGCAAGGGCGGGCAGAAGGGAGAGGAGGAGGCCAAUAGCACCAGAGCGAACGGGGGCCGCAAAAGGGAGGAGCAGGGCAAGGGGCGGCGGCGAGAGGGAGAACAGGAGGGGCCGGCAGGGAGGGGAGGCGUGAGGGGCGCCAGAAAGACGGAGAGAGCGCCAGAGAAAACACGAUAAGGGCAGCGAAGAGACGAGAAGCGCAGACGGGGGCAGCAACGGGGGAGGGACAGCAGGAGACGGGCCGGCGAACGAGAACUGAAAGUGGGGGGUGGUCGUUGAGGGGACCAGAGAGAAGACUGGGCCGACUAUCAUCACUUUUUAGAGGAUAUUCAUUUUCAGCCAUUCAUUUUUACGCUCACUUGAUGGACAAUAGAACAAUAUCGGAAAAGCAUAAAAUUUGAUUUCUAGAUACUUCAAGUGGUAUAGAUCAUAUUCAACGGUGCUGAUCAUCGAUUUAGAGGCUCCGUCAUAAAAAACAAAUGGGUGGCAACGGAGCCCGUUUGCUACUAAUAGUAUUCUAGCUCAACUCUCUCUCUCUCUCUCUCUCUCUCUCUCUCUCUCUCUAUAUAUAUAUAUAUAUAUAUAUCCUCUUUGUAAGUUCAUUUAUUUUAGUAGCUUAUAGAGAAUCGCAUAUCUCUAUUUUAGGUUCCGACGAUUGAUUUUUUCUGUGCAUUUUCGACUGGAUAAUUUCUUAUCUUUGAAGCUGCAUUAAGGUAAGCCACCGGACACGCGUUAGUUUUCGCUAAAUAAUUUAGAAAAAUACUUUGAUUGUGUGAAAAUCUUAUUUUGCAGAUUUUAAAAUUAAGGGUUAAGUAUAUUAUUAAAUAUUUCUGUAAAUUGAGCUUCAACUGUGAUUGACAAGUUCUUUUAGCAAAAAGAAUUUUUGAAAUUUGAUAAUUUGUUUUGUAAAUUAGUGACCGGAUAAAUUUUGAAUUAUAAUGUCUUUUGGUAUUCUGCUAUACAAUGUUGGCCAUGUCGACAUGUAUUCUGUUAUAGAAGCUAGUUUCGUCUCUGUAUUGCAUCUUCGGGUACCCGCGGCUAUCCGCGCCUCUGUUCUGUAAUUGCACUUUCGAGCGCCUCUGUUUUGUACAUGCACCUUCGGGUGCUUCUGUUCUGUUUGCAUCUUCGGGUACGUCUGUUCUGUUUGUGCCUUCGGGUGCCUCUGGAUAUCGCCAACGGAUCACAUAAUAUAGUUAGAACAUUUAUUUUGUUUAAUUGUUGAAAAAGGAAAUGUUUGUAAAUUUAUUUGCUAUUUGAUCUGAAUCUUAAAUUUUGAUAAUCUGUAUUUUCUAAAGAUUUUGCAAAUUAAAAAUCAGCCGCUUAAAUUAAUUUCUGUAAUAGAAUUUACUUUAGAGCAUUUGUUAUAUAUUUAUUCGUAUGCUUAAUCCGACUAAUGUGGUGUAUGGUUGCGUACCCAAAUACCGAGACUGAUUUGCAGGGCGGGACCGGGUUUGAGUGAAUGUUAGACGUAGCUAGUUUUGUUUUUAGUCUCUUUCGUUUUAUGUCUAUUGCAUUUAGAUGUGAAUUUUGGGCUUCGUAAAUGAUCAACUGUUUAUCUGCUUUUAUUUUGUUAUUUCUUCGGAUCCACUUUUGUUAUUUAUAGUAUCUGUUAGACCAAAUUUUGUUUGCGAUGCAUAAUAAACUUUAGUUCUGCUUAUAUGAGAAUUCAUUUUAUAGUGUAACGAUCCGACCCGCCAGCAAUAAUAAUUCGUUGGGUCCAAACCACCAGCCCAAAAUGCUUAAGCCCAGUUAUUAUUACUAGCGUGUAGGCCUUAUAUAUUUUAAUCAGAAUCAGUUUUCCACCCCGAUGGUUUGGGCCCAAUGAGUUAUUAUUGCUGGCGGGUCGGGUCGUUACACAUAUGCUCUAUGUACAAUUUGGAAUGAUGCCUUUCCUUACCUUGGUGCAAGCUUGUUUUUACUCGAUUCAUUAAAACACCACUUCCACUUAUGAUAAUACUGAUAUCAUAGCUAAACUGUCUGUCUUUAUUCAAAUUAUGCGUAAUUUACCGGCCCAACCUAAUAUUACGUGCAAGCUACAGUGAUGAAGGUAAACCCAUUGUGCAAGAUAAGCUUUCCGAGGUGGCCGCCAGUUUGAUUUCUGCUUAUGAUAGUGGAGAGCUCCGUGAAGCACUGGAGGAAGGGCAUGCUGGUUGGCAAAAAUGGGUGAAGAGCUUUGGCAAGUUACUCAAGCGUAAGGUUAGUUUAGAAGCAUAACAAAAUGCCCAGAUAGUUUAAUAUAGUUGCUAAGUUUAGCAUGUUCUGUUUUUCAUAAUUAAUAAAUUACAGUUGCUUCUCCUCCUUUCUAUUAUCUAAAUAUGCUCGGAGGAAAGAUUUUGUCUUCAUAUUCUGUGGGAACUUUAUAUAUAUGCAUUCAUGUAGAUACCCACAUAAAUGUGUGUAUGCAUAGUGCUAUGCAUAUUUAUUUGUAAUGCUAAUUGAAUUCCAUGUUUAAGAGACGACAAGAAUAUAAAAAGGAAAAUUGUUAUGGUCACAGUUUCUAUCGACUUGGAAUUUAAAGUCUGAAUACCUAACAUCUUUUUUUUUUUUCCCCCUCUUCCUUUGAUUACUUAUCAGGGAAAAUCUCUAUUUAUGCCUCUUCGAGUAUUACUAACGGGGAAGCUUCAUGGCCCAGAUAUGGGGGGAAGUAUUGUUCUGAUUUAUAAAGCUGGUAUCUGCGGAGCAGUUAAUCCGCAAUCAGGUUUUGUACCUUUGGAUGAGAGACUCAAAAUUUUAAGGGAGAUUGACUGGGACGCAUUGAACAAGGGACCAGAUCCGCAACCCGAAUCUGUCGCAACCGUCGCUCAUUAAAUGUUUGUUUAACUAAUAUUUUAUUUUAUUUUAUUUUUCCUAUUCCUGAGGGCUUUUUGUUGUUUCUACUCACACAGCUAAAAUUCUGAGAGAAAAAGCCGUUGGUUGUAACAUCCAGCUUUUUGUGUGUAGUGAAUGUAGCAAUCUGAGUAGUGCAUCAUCUGUACCCUCUUUUGAUUUUGUUUCGGUGAUCUCUCUCUCAAUCAACUCAUGACCCUGUUUUUGAUUAAAUUUGGGUGAUCUCUCUCUCAAGAUUGAUAGUUUGUGCACCAUUUAGUCGCUGGUCGUCGCAAAUCUACAAACCAUUGCCGGCACAACUGCUGUUUUGUAGUUGGUUAUGUUGCUUGUGCAUUCUGAUUCUGGCCCUGAAUUGGAAUCCUCAACAACUACAACGACACACAAAUGGAAUCCUCCAACUUAUUAUUGGUUUUUCUUCAGGUUAUUGCCCUGUUUGUGUGUGACCAUUUGUAUUUUCUAUCCCUCCUGUGGUACUCGACAACAAGCACAUUAUGUUAGAUUUAGCUAAGUUAGAUUUAUAUAUUAAAUUUAAGUAGAUUAGAAAAUUGGUCGAAUUGCUUUUGAUGGUGUGGGAUUUUAUCCCUAUUAUUACUCUCCCCUCCAAGUCUUGAUUGUCCAUCACUUCUUCCACUUGAGCCUGAAUUAGCCUCUAAUUUCUCUUUUCUGACUUUCUUAUUCUAUUUUUAAUCUCUUUUUUUCGCAAUCCACUAUUACAGUAUAUGCUACAUAUUUAUUGCUACAGUAUUGGUGCUACAGUACUGCAAUAGUAUUUUAACUGCAUAAAAAAUUGUCUAUGGUUCAAUCUUUUGCCAUGUGACACAAUCAAACACAAUAAUCUUAUCGAGGAAAAGCUCAUCAAGGUUUUCAAGUAGGAGCCGAAGACACAACGCUUCGGCCAAUGGUCUCGGUCGGGCACCCAAAUCAUCUUCCAAACGCUGCAACUGAGAGCGUCGAAGCUGCAGCUUUGAGCUUUCUGGCAGUUGAAAGUUCGGGCGGGCGCCCCAAACCUAUCGCAGAUGCUAUGUUAUGUUUAGUUGCAAAUAGAAAUUAUCGGAGGGUUUAAGUACAAUUGUAGCACUUCUAUAGAAAACCUCUCAUAGCCAACACCCCUCCCCUCUUUCAUUUCUCUUUUGCACUCUCUUUUCUUUCUCUCUCUAAAAAGAAGAAAAAUCUAGUUUUUGCCCCUUUGUUGGAACCCUCAGAUCCACCCCUAUUGGGAGCUUGGAGAAGAUGAAGAGCUCUUAGAGGGAGCUCUAGGAUAGGAAAGGGAACCACCUCGCGAUCAACCCACAUUUUCCUUGCUUGGAGGAGAUGUUAAGUUGAAAUUUUUAGGGUUUGUUCUUAGAGAUAUUUCCAAACGAAAGAUUUUGAGGUUUUAACUCAGUUAGACUCUUUUUUAAGAGUUCCUUGAUGUUCUAAAGAGAUCAAAAAGCAUCUCCUAGAAAAAUCUAACUAGAGGUAAAAAAUAUCAUUGAAAUGGAUUUGAUUUUCCCUUUGUUUAAAGAAUUUGUUCAUAUGUAUGUAUUAUAGGUAAAAAAGUAAAUUAAAGUAUAUUUAGUUUGCAUAUCAUGAGAUUUAAAAGUUCAUGUGGGCUUAAAAGCUGUCACACCUCGGGCUAUAGCGAAGCCUCUGGGUACACUAAUAGACCCGCUGUAUACAUGGGAAGCACUUUGCGCACACGAAGCGUCAACCAUCUAUCAAUAGCAAGUAUUAGACGUUCACAACUACAAAAGUCCUAGUAGUCUGCAACUAAUAUGUAUGAGUAUAAAGUAAUCAAAUAGAUAAGCAAUGCUAUACAUACAUACAUCCAUAGUAUAUCAUACAUAUCCAAAAUACAGCCACCACGGGUCAGCCAAUUCAUAUAUGUAUUGGCUGGUGUCAAAAUAAAGUACAUAGGCUAGUCCUCCUCUAGUUUGGUCAAUACUAAUAGGAGAUGUUAUCUAAUCUACGAUCCCUUUACCUCAGCCAGAUGGAGCAGGAGCUAAGUUAUCUAAAACCAAAAAAUAACAAAAAAAGUGUGAAAACUAUUAAAUUGUAGUCCCUAGUAAGUCCUAUCGUCGACGACAAUGGCACAACCACUAGGUCUAUUAGAGACAAAGUUAGUACAGAUAGCUAAAUGAAAGUAGGAUAUAUAGAGUUGGUGAAAAUAAAUUACCACUAUCAUACCUCUAUACUACUACUGCUGAAAAUUGUAAUUCAUAAAUAGCAUGCAUCAACUAGUUAUUGAAUAAGUAAAACUGUAACCCAAUCACACUGGCCGACUUGUAAGUCUCGUCAAGCCUGCGCUCGCCUCACGCUCGGCCCCCACCUUGACUCCGUGGUCUGUCGACGCAGAGGCUAUCUAUACACUAAAUUAGCCGCCAGCCUCUAGAGGGGCACUCGAGGGGCGCGACUCGUUUGAGUAUAAUAGCAUAUCUAUCAAGCACAAUCAAGCUCCUGCAGGCUAAGUCAUAUGUGAAUGAUCAACCAGAUUAUAAUAAAUAUUAUCAAGGUGCCCACGGCACAAUCAGGUAUAACUCACUGUUUAAAAUUGCUGAAUUAAUCCACAACAACAAUAAAUUGUAAGCUGUCCAUAAUCUGUCAUCUCUCAAAUCCUCGGUGUAUAUCAAACUAACAGGUUAUGCAUAACUGUGGUGCCCAUAGGGAAAGAGAGUAAGAAGAAGGAGACUAAGAAUGAUAGAUAAGCCUCAGGGCGUUGAGUGAGAAAAGAGUAGAUGAGAAACAUCCCUGAACUAUUUAUAAACAAAAUACAAUUGCAGCCCAACCCAUAGAAAAUUAGAAAUAAUGCACCUUAGCUCAAAUACGCACUUUCGGGCACUAGAACUAGCCUUUCGGGCAUCCGAAUCUACGAUAGCUGUGUCCACUCCCUCUUUCAUGUGCUCGGACAGAAGCCUAAACUUGUUGUAGCUGCACGUGGACACUUCGGGUGCCCGAAAUCUUGUGCCUAAAACACCUAUGAGUCACUAUGCACAUGUCGAGGCAACGAUCAGAUCAUCACCAACCUACAUCUGGGUUUCUACAGUACUAUUGGGAGUCCGGAACUAGGAUUUGAAUUCACAUCCAAAGCCUGCUUGCUAGCGCCUUAAACAUCUUUUGGGCGUUUGAAACUCAUAAAACUUCAGUUUUAACAGGAUUUUCAAUCUCGAGUCUGUUUUCGCAUUCAUUUAGCGUCAAAAUGGCUCCAAUCCUGUCCAGCAAUCCACAUACGUGCUAACCAACUAUAUAUCCAUGUUGCAACCAAACCCAGUUGUCGAGGUCCAGAAAACUACAAAAGCAUUUGACUUAAGAAAACAGAGUUUCCAAUUCCUUUGCCAUGAAGAAUGAAAGUCCACAUUACAUGUAAAUAAAGUAUUAUAUAAAUUUGAAGCUUAGCUAGAAAUGUGAAUCAACAAGGAUUCGAACUUGAGACCUCGGGUACCAACCACCAAGCUUAAAGACUCUGUCCAUAGAGCUUCGUGAGCUCUGUGCGCUGAAGAAACGCAAGGAGAAGGUGACUGAGCUUCUGGCGAAGAAGGAGACUGGGAAGAAGGUGGCUGAGCUUCUGGAGAAGGAGACUAGGAAGAAGGUGGCUGGGCUUCUGGAGGAGAAGAAAUCUGGAAAGAAGGUGGUUGAGCUUCAAGAAGAGAAAAAGACUGGGAAGAAGGCGACCGAGUUUCAGGAAUAGAAGAAGACUGGGAAGAAGAUGGUGCUCUCCCCGAACCCACGACGUGAUCCGCAAGCGAUGAUUCUAGGCACGACUGGCGACGGGAAAGCCGCCUUCAAAGAUGCUCCCUGUGAUCUCGCCCCUGCUGGUGCGUAUUCUGUUUCGCAGCAGAGACCCAACGAGAUUUACUUGGAACUAGGCAAGGGAGUUAAAGCAGCCACCCACCUCUGUAAUCAUGGGUACGAGGGCUGCUCCAACUUCAAGAAGGUUACCUGGGCAAACACAUUAACUCGGACAGCCUACUUCAGACAAGAUAACCCCCUUCAAAUCUCUAGAUCAUUUACUGCACCCACCAAAUCUCAAGCUGCUGACAACUUUGGACCAGAGAACAAGCCUCGGCCUGAUAGGCAAGACUGGAAGAAGCGCCCCCCAUCCACGUCUUUUAAGAGGACGUACAGGGACGUGCUCCUCAGCCCUGGUUCUCCCACUCUACCUCCACUCCACCCCGCUCUCGCUCGUCGCCUCCGAGAUCGCAUCUUUCCCCUUCUUCGAACAGUGGUCGAUUUUCCUUCAAAGGCAGAUGUUAUAGGUGCUUGGGAAGGGAUCACUGGGUUGCUCACUGUCACGAUCCUAUUAGGUGCACCAAGAGCUUCAAGUCGGGCCACAGAGCUAAGCACUGCAUGCAACAUCUGCUGAUGGAGAUCUAUAGAGCAAUGCGCGUCGGGCUUGCGUAUCUUUCCGUUUUUGUUCCCUUGUCCGAUGACUUCUGGGCCCGACAAAAUCGCCGCAGAAAUGCUAUCCUGGUAGAUGUCGUCCCCCCGACCAAUCUCGGUCAUUUCCCUCAGGACACUAUCGCAAAUGGCCUUGCGAGUCCCUUCGGAAGGUACACAACCGACUUCCACAUUGCAAGGUACCGCGAAAGAGACUUCGUCGUUUUUCUCUCGGAAUGGGUGCCAUGCGACGACCUCAUCCACAGGGACAUCCUCAGUCUGGGGGAUUUUUGACUGCGCUACUUUCCCUGGAAUCCAUACAGUGCCGCACGGCGGCCGCCACUCACCUACAAAGCCUGGAUUCCUUUUGUUAGUCUUUCGUACGAGUGCUGGUCCUCUCGAACCGUGGCGGCUCUCGUCAGCGGUUUCGGCCGGUUCAUCAGAUCGGAUGACUCCAGCGCCUGCAUCGUCGACCUUUCUGGCUACCGGUGCCUGGUAGACGUCAACCACCUCUUCGAUAUUCCUUAAAACUUGGAGAUCUCCUUUGGGGAUCUAUCGCUUUCGGUGCUAAUCCAGCUGGAAAGGUGGGCUCGCAGCAAAGGAGGAGAGGCGUGCUAACCCCCACAAUGAACGCACGGAUCAGCACGACCCGCCUGCCAGACCUUCUUUUGGAGACAGCCAGCUCUCCGUCAGCUCUGCGCAAGGGAGACACAUGGAGAUCGGCGGUUCAUCUAACUCCGACGCCUCCUGGAAUUCUUCCAAAAUCCGCGAUAGACGACGCGAUGCUUUUCCUCCACAACGCGAUGCCCUCCCACCGCCACACGACGCUCUCCCUGUACCACGCGUCGCUCUCCCUCCACUACGACAAAUGGCUGGGCAGUCGGCGCCUCCUAUCAUCCCUCUGCGACGCAAUGCCCUCCCUCCGCCACGCGAGGCUCUUACUCCGCCGCGGCUUAUGACUGGGCAGCCGGCACCUCCCGCUACUAUUUCUUCGGCGAUCGGCAGAGCGACCGUCCUGAGGAGUGCCUUUCACUUUCACUUUCAAAUUCCCACGCCGUUGGGUUUUCCAUUCUCGUUCAACCUGACACCGGCUCUACCUUUUCCUCCUUCCCCUUAACUGGCUCUUGCCUCUCCAGCACCAUUAAUGCACUCUUACCUAAAUAUGGAAACCCCCUGGCUGACCCUUGGUUCUUGCACCUAGAAGCUUCUGACAAAGCGGGAUUUCAUGGGAUUUUCAACUCUGCGGAUCAUCGCCGGUGCAUUUAUUUUAACUUCCGGCCAUCCUUCUCGGAUGACCCGCGUAUCCUCACUGCAUUAGACCCCGCACCUUGCUCGUCCAGUCCGUGGUGGACCCUCACCUACUUAAUCUCUGAUCCUGGCUGCUUUGGGUUGGGGCUCAACCUCCAUUUAUCUGUCUCUGGCCGUGAUUCGUUUAUCUCUAAUUGUCUUGGGUCCUAGCCCAGCAAUGAUCUGGCGUCGGCCUUCCCAUGGAACGACUUUGGCAGCCUACCUCAAGAUGUGCCGCACCUGUCUGCUACUGAUUGCCUCACCCUAGAUGCGCCCAGAUUGAGUGCUCGCUUGGCCACGCUGAUGAAGGACUCUAUGUUAAGUAGGGCGAUGCGCAGAAAAGCGCACCGCCUCGAGGGGGGACCAACCAUGCCGGCGACUUCAGUGCACAAGAGGUUCAAAAAGAAAAUCAAGGCGCGGAGCCUGCUCUGCGGGGUGUCACUCUCCGAUUUUGACGCUACGGAAUUUAAAAAAUUCCUGUCGAUAGAAGCCUAGAUGUAGUAUGCCUGUCGAGUCUGUGUCAACUACUGCUGUAUGUGUUUUUCGUUUUUUCGAUGUUUAACUUGUUAAGUUGGAAUGUCCCUGGUCUGCAUGAUCCGGCCAAGCGUUACUGUGUCAAGUUCGUGUUGUCUAAUCUCUAUAGUACUGUCGUCUGCCUUCAAGAAACUAAAGUGGAUUCCGUGUCCCGUUCGUUCCUUCGUUCUUGUUGCGGCUCUUGCUACGACCGGUGCCACUUUAUCCCCGUUUUCGGGACCUCUGGCGGUUUACUCACGUGCUGGAAUUCUAAUUUUUUUUAAGUGUAACGAGGUCUUGGUUCGAGAGCAAUCACUCACUCUCAACCUAACCCAUCUUGCUACCGACAAGACCUUCUAUCUCACUAACGUCUACGGGUCCCCCACUUAGGACGGAAAAGAAGAUUUUUGCUCUGAACUGCUUGCACUCAACGGGACCUGUUCCAAUAGGUUAUUUGCGGCGACUUUAAUUUCACCAGAAACCAAGCCGAAAAAAGAGGAAACCCUUGGAGCUCCAAAUCCAUGGCAAUGUUCUCGGAUCUCAUCUGAAACCUAGCGGUCAUUGAUUUACCGCUGUCGAACCAAACCUACACCUGGUCUAACACGUAACAAAAACCCUCCCUGGCCAAACUCGACAGAUUCCUCGUCUCCACCGAGUGGGACCUUUCAUUCCCCCUUAGCAAGGUCAAGGCUUUCCCGCGGAUCACUUCUGACCACACACCGAUCGUUCUCUUCACCGGACUCCUCCCCAUGCCGCGGAGAUUUCGAUUUGAAAGGAUUUGGCUCACCAAGGAUGACUUUCUGUCGAACGUGCCGAAAUGGUGGAAUGAAGUCCCUUGUAAGCAAUCAACCAUCCUCUGUAUAACUCCUAAGCUUAGUCAUUGCAAAACUAGGAUAAAGGAAUGGUGCAAGUCCAACUUCCACAGUAUAUCCCACACAAAGAAGCACAUACAGGAGGAACUUCAAGAAUCGACCACCUAGAGGAACACUCUAACCUGUCUCAAAAACCCUGGAUAAACGGACCAAUCUCAAAGGGCAACUACAGCUUAUCUUAAAGGAGGAAGAAAUCCUCUGGAACACCAGGGCCAAACAACUCUCGCUCAAAGAAGGUGACGAAAAUGCUAAAUUUUUCCACGCCGUGGCUAAUGGCCGGAAACGAAGCAACGCCAUUGAAAUCAUUGAGGAUGAAUUAGAAAAGCAAAUCACCAAUGAAGAGGACAAUAUAUUCUACUUCUUUCACGCUUUUAAACGCCUAUUUGGUCACGCGGAUGAAUGUCUUCCUUCAUACGGAAUUGGAGUAACCUCUAUCACUCUAAUAGAUUGUGCAACCCCGACUCCCUAACGUCCCCAUUCACUCUUGAGGAGGACAAGACAGCUACCUUCCAACCAGGCAGUGACAAGGUCCUCGGGCUAGAUGGCUAUCCCCUUAUUUUCUUCCAAACCUUCUGGGAGACGGCAAAGAAGGACAUUUUCAAUGUAUUCCUUGACCUGCAGGCUGACAGACAUUUUACGGGUCCCAUCGAUUAUUCAUUUGUGUGCCUCAUCCCCAAAAAAGAAGGACCGCGCAAGGCAAAUGACUUCCGACCGAUCAGUCUCAUCAACGGAAUACAAAAAAUCAUCUCUAAAGUCCUCGCCAAUUGACUUGCACUUACACUGCCGUCCAUAAUCUCCCUUUCCCAAUCGACCUUCCUCAAAGACCGGCUACUAAUAGACUCAUUUGCUAUAGCAUGCGAACUAGUCAACUGGUGCUCAAAAUCUGGCACGAAAUGCGUUUGUAUCAAGGCCUAUUUCGAAAAAGCUUUCGACAAUGUCAUAUGGACCUUCUUGCAAAGCAUCCUUAGAUGGCUCGGCUUCAGUGAAAAAUGGUGGUCCUGGAUCGAACAAUGUAUAUGCAAUGCCAAAGUCGCUAUUUUAGUGAAUGACACCUACCCCGACUAGAUGGCUAAAAGCUAAGAAGGGCCUUAGACAGGGAGACCCGCUCUCACCCUAUCUCUUUAUUUUAGUUGCUGAUUGCCUAGCCAGGCUGACCGAAACCGCUAGGGGCAACAAUCUACUACGUAGAAUUGGCCCAACUGAGGACUGCGAAACGGUGCUCCUUCAGUACGCCGACGACACAAUAUUUUUUUGCGAACCCAGAAAACAUUUCAUGAGGAACCUUCAGUUUCUUUGGAAGAUCUUUGAGUGGGCCUCUAGACUUAGGAUUAACCAGAACAAAUCGGAAUUGUACUACUUGGGAUCUCGACCGCGCAAAGCCGACAGAUUGGUCAACAUCCUAGGAUUUAAAGUGGGCAAGCUAUUGUUCGCUAUUUGGGCCUACCACUUUACAAUAAACAAUUACGUAAGGAAGAUUGGGCCUUCGUAAUCAACCGCGUCAACGCAUGAAUCGACGGAUGGAAAGCUAAACUCCUAUCUCAAGGAGGAAGACUUAUUCUCGUCAACUCGGUUCUUACCAACUUACCGCUAUUUCACUUAUCUACUUUCAAAGCACCAUAUUGGGUACUACACAGGAUCGAGGGCCGAAGAAGAGCGUUUUUCUGGAAAGGGACUUCUACUAUCUUUGGAUGAGAAUGUCUCAUCAGCUGGAAAACCAUCUGUAGAAGCAAGAUUGAAGGAGGGCUAGGGAUCAAAAAUAAUGGACGCUAUGAACAUAGCCCUCUUAACCAAAUGGUGGUGGCGCUUUCUCAACGAACCAAAUCUCCCGUGGUGCAAACUAAUAAAUUCUCUUUACUACACCAGACGUAAACCGCUACAUGACGGCAGAGCCUUCGUCCCCUAUUCGUAAUGGUGGAAAAGUGUGGUCCGAUGUUGUGAUGUGUUCAAAUGCAGCGUAUCCUACGAACUAGGCCGUGGUACUAAUAUCAAGUUGUGGUCUGAUAUCUGGAUUGGAGAAACCCCUCUACGCACGCUGUUCCCAUAUAUCUUUUCCUGCUCUAUUAUUUAGUUUUUAAUCCACACUCUUUUUUGUCUUUCGGAGGCCUUAGCUGCUUCCACCCUGGACGCUUAAUUCAUUUGUUUUAAUGAAUGAAGCAGCUACCUCUUUCUCAAAAAAGAAAAAAAUAAUUUGAAGCUUAGAUGAUAUAAUAGUGACAUUUAACCUAGGAUGUAACGUAUGGUGUUAAACAUAGUGAUGCAUAGACAUCUAGGAAAACUUGAGCUAGAGAACAAAAGGACUUACAAAUGAACUGACCCUUGGAAGUCAUGAGAACUUAAUUAGUGUGUAACUAAGAUAUAAGUUACCAAUCGUCCCUAGAGCAACUGGCAAAGGACUUGGUGGUUGGUACCUGAGUGUACCAGUACAGAGCCAGAGAACCCUCAACCCGAGCCUUGGGUUGAGAUUUUCGUGGGGCUUGUACCAGUACAAGGACUCGUGUACCGGUACAAGGAGGCUGAUUUCGUGCAGUUUGAACUGCAGGGGUGUUUUGGCAAUUGUGGACUUCUUAUAUCAACACCCACGCCCUUGAGGCCUCCCCUGAGCUCACCAGCAGCAAGAGGAGAGGUAAGGGAGCCCUCCACACUCUCCCCCUUGAUUUCCUUGGUUUUUAUUUGGAUUUAGAGAGAUUAAAGCCUCUCUUUUUGCUCCUUUUUGGGUGUUGGAGGCUUUUCCACCAUUGGAGCUUGGGAUUGGAGCUUGAGAGGAGGAAGAUCUCCACACUUGGUGAACUUAGAACCUUGAUUGAAACUUCUAAGAGGUUAGUAACCCCUUCUCCUCCUCUAGAUUUGAGUUUUGUUGCUUUUUGAUAGUUGGAACCCUAGAAUGAGGUUUUAGGAUUAAUUUUGGGCAUUUUGAUUCUAGGGCUUUUGGGGCUAAAUUAUUUGGAUUAGAGCACUCCUUUGGGUUGGAUUGGAAGGAUCUUAGCCUUCUUUUGGAGCUUGUGAGAGUUUUUCUCCACCCUAGGUGAGAUCUUAGCCCUUUUGCCUUGUUGGUUAAUAUUUGAUCUUAUAGUUGAUAUUAAUGCCCGUGUAUCUCUUCGCUUAAUAUUUUUAGGGUAUUUGGAGACUCGUGGACAACUCCGUUCGGUGAAUCGAGGGAUUAUGCGACGGUUCGGUGGGUUUGACCUAGCCACACAAUGAGAAAUCUCAUUGUUGAUGAUUUAAGUGUUGUAAAAUGAAAAAGCAUCCAUAUUCUUGUUAUAUGUAUUUAUUGUGAAUUUUAAAAUGCUUAAAAUGCCUAUGUUACAUAUAGUGCAAUUUUGGACUCCUAUAUAGUAGAGAGUUGCAUAUGAAGCCUAUGUUUGAUUGUUUAGCAUUCUUAUAUUGGGCCAUGUUCCUUAUAAUGAAAAUGAGCUUGAAUCAUGCAUUUAAAUCUAAGUUUAUUUGUGACAUGAAAGUUAGCUAAUAUGCCAUAAAGAGGCAUCAAACUAGAAUGUUAUGUGAAUUAGAGAGCUAAUGUCAUCAAGCGGCAUUGAGCUCGGGACAUGGGUGAACCUAGUGGAUAGGGCCAUUGAGGGAUUUGGUGUAUGCUCAACAUUGAAAUGUCGAAGUGUCAUCAAGGGGCACUAGACUUCAUGAACGUUGGAACUUUAAUUGUGACUUAGACCUAGAUCUUCAGGAUGCUAGUAACUAUACCAUGUUAGAAACAUGAGGAUUGGAUACUUGAGACUUGGACUACGCUUGCUUGCCAUUUGUGCUCAUUCGCACAUGCUUGUGAGGGUCGCUCCCUACAAGCCGGCACUCCGGAGUUAGUCUACGCGACUUAUGUUCGCUCGUGCGGUAUUGAGAUGCCUACGGGGUCGAGUGGGAUAGACACAUUCCAAGAGUAGGGAUGUUGGGCUACCACAGGCACUUAGGCGGCACAAGCUGGACUACCUUUGGUAGGUCCUUGAUUGGAAAUGAAAAUCGACACGGUGUUGUGUGUGUUAUAAUCACUACUAGAUAGAGAGUAGUAGUUGGGUUACUUGGACUUGCUUCUAGCAUAGUUUUGGACACUAGAGUAUAUAUACAUACAUGUAGUAUGCUAGGAGAUGUUGUUUAUUGCAUCCAUAUAUAUAUUGUUGCCAUGAUAAAGCAUGAUCUUUAUAACUUCAUAAAGUGGACCGUGACAAUUACCUGUGGCCAUGUUGAGACAUAUUACUUGUGCAUUGAACAUUCUUUAUUAUGAAAGAGUAAAUGUAGAACAUUGACAUCGUAAUGUUUAUGGUAUAGUAAGCUUAGUAAACAUGCAUACUUUCAUACCGCAGUUAUCAUUAUCAUUAUUGUUGUUUACCGUGCUUACUCGUUUCUUCUGGGGCCUAGUGGUGCAUUGAGCUGAGGUCAGUAAUUGCCCACUGGAAACUAUAAAUUAUAGUUCUCACGCCCUCGUUUUCUUGAUGUUUUUCAGAGCCUUCCAUGUCGGGAGAGGCUAGAGACCGCGGGAAGGGAGUUGCUUCGAGCUAGCUUCCUUCGAGGACGAUUUGAUAGGUGGUCUACCUCUCGUUAUUUUAUUUUGUGAGAGGUUGAGAGUUGUACCCGUAUAUAUAUAGAGACCACCCUUCUUUUGAAUUUUUGUAUUUCUUUUGAGGAGUUUGCAUUGUAUCACCUUGUGCUUUACUAUUAUGGAUUAGUAUAUUUCCUUUAUUCUUGUUUUAGAUGAUAGAACUUUACUUACUCUGAUAUCGUUAGAUAUUAUUCAUUCCUAGUCGUUGUAAUUCUUGCUUUUACUUCCGCUUUUAUUUUAGACGCCUUAUAUGUGUGGACAUAUGGCGGGUCUGGGCACGCUACCGGGAGGGCCUCCGCCGGUCCCGGGGCGUGACACUGAGGUUCCGAGUUCGAAUCCUAGUUGAUUCACAUUUCCAGCUAAAUUUAUUUCUAAAUGAAAUAAAUGAAGCAGGUAGCGUGCUACCUAUCUCUCUCUCUCAAAAAAAAAGAAGAUAUAAGUUAUGACUUUUCGAAAGUGUCAUAUUGGGAGAUGUCGACUCUCCUUAGCUCACUACUUCAUAUUGGGAGAUGCCGAUCAUUCUCGACUUUCUCUAUCAUGUUUGGUGAUACCGAUUUCCUUUGACUCCAAAUGCCUACUGAUUGGAAAGAUGCCGGUCGUCUUCGAAUAAUUGUAAAAAUUAGUUUCUAGAAAAUUCAUAUAAUUUAUACCGUAUAUAAUAGAGGUGAUUGUUGAUUUGGAAAACUUAUCACCCAUAACAAUGUGGAAAAGGUUUUGUUUGUUUUUAAAAGUAUCCUUACUUUACUCUAACGGGAAGCAAAAGACAAGUUGCACUACAACAAAAACGGUCUAUAGCGACACUUUUAAAUAUAGGUACAUGUCAAAAAAGUGCUGCUAGCUAAAAUUACCGACACUUUUAAAAAGUGUUGCUAUAUGUGGGGUCGCUAGGUAUAUAGUGACAGUUAAAGAGUGUUGCUAUAACCUAAAAGAGUGCUGCUAAUUUACUAACACUUAUUUAAGCAUUUAGCAACCGCCGAAACUCUAUCUCGUUAGCUGCGGUGGCGGAGGAGGACGACAGAAAAGGCUCUUCGUCUAGAAUUUCAGUGGAUUGAGUGAAGAGAGAAGAAAAGAUGGUAAUUGAUUUUUCUUUUUUUUUCUUUCUAUUUGUAAUUCGGGCCAAAUGGAUGAGUGUGAUGGGUUGAAAUAGAGUAAUUCUUUUAUCGUUUGUUGAUUGCUUUUAUAUUUAACAUUAGUAGAUAUUAUUUAUUAGUUUUAGGAUAAAUGGGACAGCUUACUCAAAAGUGUCUCAAACAUGUGAUGCCCUCAUAACCUAAUUCUGUUUGAGUAGUUGAGAUAUUGAGACUGAGCAUCGAAAUAAAUCUUCUUUGGCAACUAAACAAUAACGGAAAACUGUAUUGCCGUUAGGAAGGCAAAACUUGACGCCAUCUAACAUAUCUCAAAAUACAAAUUGGACACUUCCAUACUGACACUCCUAUUAAAACGCUUCCGCGUGUGUUUUUGAAUAAAGUUAUGUUAAAAAGUACAAUAUGUCUCUCUGUUUUUUAAUCAAAGACUUGCAUUCUCUCUUCUUAAAAUCUUGCAACAAGAGACCUAAACGAUGUUAACUUAUAAAAAAUUAAGCAAAAUCACGUGCUCCGGACGAGUGGACAGCAAAGAGUGCGCUUUGACAAUAUCACAUAUAUAUAUAUAUAAACUAAAUACCUACUAUAUAAUAGUAUAUUAUAUAUACUAAAUAUACUAAUACUAAUAAGUACCACCAAUGAGUUGUUUAUAUUUAAAGUUACUAAGUUAUUGGUGGCCUGUAAAUUUUUUACCAUUUGACUUAAGAGAUAGCGGUUACGAAUGUUGGCCCUUCUAAGGGUUGAGUGGUGGUUGAUUGAAUAGUAUAAUCUUAUGAUUGAAAAUUGAUUCGAAAAGUAGGAUCUACACGGUAAAAACUGACCAACAUUAAUACUGUGGCUUUUACAAGCAUCAUACACUGAUAUAUAUAAAUAUACCUCCAUAUACCUAUAUAUAUACCUAAUAUACUAUACAUACUAUAAUAUAACCAUCAGUAACGUGAUACUUCCUGGAACCCUAACCAAGAACGUAGUUGAACUGAAUUUGUAAAAAAUAAUAUCCAAGCAUCACUCAAGACAAGAUCGUCUCGUACAAUUUCACUUGUUUAAUAGUUGGAAUCUUGAAGCAUAAGAAAUUCUUUAACUUCAGCGUGUUUUAUGCCUACCUGGAGUGUAAAUCAGGCCAAAGGGGGGUGUUUGCGUGAUGUACAAUGGAUGGAAUCAGAUAAAUUGUUCGGUGGAUGCAAAGUGGUUUGCUAUCAUUUGUUAUUCGUCGUAAAAAUUUUUUGGAAAAAUACUUUUACGUAUUUAAGGGAAACUUCUAUUUCGUUUUCCGCGUGUGAGGUGGAUAACGAAAACUCGAGGCAAAUCGCGUCUCGCGGCGGCGGGCUUUGUCACGGUCCAGGAGGCCCAAGCGGCCUCAUGGACUCGCAUGGAGGGAGUCCAACGGUGGACCUCCUCUUAUAUAGAAUAGCUAUCAUAUACUAUAUACUCUACUAUAUAAUUUAUAUCAUAUACUGCGGUUUUGAAUGAUGGCGGGCCCCCUAAGGGUUGAAGUGGGUGGUUGGUUGAAUAGGCAUGAUUACGGGUGACAAUAUCAAAGGUAUGAUCUAACAGCGGAAAACUGGUAGCACCAAGUGCGUCGUGCUAUUAUAACCAAGUCAGUCCGGACUAUAUAUAUAGUAUACUAUAUAUAGUAUUUUAUUUUUAUAUAGAGAUAUUAUUAUAUAAUAUUUUAUUUAUAAAUUUAUAAUUAUUUAUUAAUAUUUAUAAUUAUUAUGUAUUAUGUUUAUUAUAAUUUUAAAUAUAUUUAAUCUAUAUAUAGAAAUUAUAAUAAUAUAUAUAGUAUAUUAAUUAUUAUAUAUUAUAAAUAUAUAUAAUAAAAAUAUAUUAAAUAAUUUUUUAUCUAUAUUUUUUUUUUCUUUCAACCAAACAACCGUUACGGAAAACUAUUUUUCUUUUCUUACAAAUCAAACACUAAACGAUAUAAAACUUUUUUUCCACUGAAAUUUUUUUUUCCACAGUUUUACGUGAAACCAAACACACCCUAAGUUGAACAAAGGCGGCCGGUUCAGCCAGGCUAUGGGUCGUGCUGAUCCACGACAGAUCCACGACUGGGCCUUGCUGUCGUGGAUCAAUGGAUAAGGGCGUCCAACAGGAAAGCUUUACUCUCCCAGUCCAAAGAAGGCACAAUGUGUGGAAGGUAAGCAUAAAACUAGCAAUAAACGUAUACAUCUAAUAUAUGCAAAAAGAGAACAAGUAUUAUUAUGUCUCCGUCAAUACAGAUAAUGAAAUCUUAGUAAUUCAACCCGUAAAUAUGCUUACUAUUAUCAGUACCCAAUUCACAAGGAUCAAAAAUACAAAGUUCGUUCUAUCAUGCAUCAAGCUAGCCAUUGGCGGCGAAAUCAUCACACUCACCUUAGGAUAUAUGUCUAUGGACAGCAAAAACGUCGCACUCUCUUAGGGCCAAUUAAUAGGUGGUGAAUUCAUUAUACUCAUCAUUAUACUCACUUUCAUUGAUGGAAAGGAUGAGAAGUAAAUGACAUCGUUUACUUCCAAAACAUAUUCUAUACUAAAUCUCUCUCUCUCUCUCUCUAUAUAUAUAUAUAUAGAGCUAGUCUCCUAUAUUAUUUAUAGUACCGAGGCUCCGAUACUAUAGUCCUGUUUUCGAUUUUAGGGUGUUCAAAUCAACGAUCCAUACUAUUAAAACUGAUCUAGGGUAUUUAAAGUUUUUAGAAAUAAAAUUUUAUAUUUUUUUGACAUAGUUAUUUUAUGAUCAAAUCAUUUCAAAAUUGUCAAUUUUUAAUGGUUACUAUAGCGAGUUUGGAGGUUAACGAUGUAGAAGAAUCUAAAUUUCUUCAAAUUUGAUAGAAAAUACUUUAAACUAUCAAGAUUAAGGUUAACAUUCUUGAUUUUGAAUUUAAAAGUCUUAUACUCAAAUUUUAAAGAUUAUUCAAUUUCUACUGUCGGGCUACUAAACUCUUAUGAGUAUUGGGUCCUUCGUACUCAUAAGUUGUUUUCGAUGAUGGGGCUUCCGAAUCGACGAUCCAUUCCGUUAAAUAUGAUUUAGAGUAUUUGAAACUUCUAAAAAAUAAAUUUCGUAAUUUUUUGGAAUCAUAAUAAAAUCCAUCAAGCGGGUAUAAAAUUAAUGAACGGUCGAAAUCGAACGACGUCCUAAAAAUGGAUGAUCAGAUCCUUCAAUUUAAGAUCGGAGUUAUUGAUCUUUAUCUAAAUAGCGAAUAGAAUUUUUUAUUAAAAUUCAACCGAUUCCGAUUCUUUUACACCGUUAAACUAGCAAGUAUCCCAUACCGGCCGUUAAAAAUUAUCAAUUUUGUGACCUUUUGAUCGUAAGUUAAUGAUGUCAAAAAAUUAUGAAAUUUGAUUUUUAGAAGUUUUAAAUACUCUAGAUAACAUUUGACGGUAUGAAUCGUCCAUUUGAAAACUCUAUCAUCGAAAACAACUUAUGAGUACG
Molecule: long non-coding RNA, 24399 nt
Filed under: Ananas comosus (pineapple)
Lineage: Eukaryota; Viridiplantae; Streptophyta; Magnoliopsida; Poales; Bromeliaceae
Description: long non-coding RNA (ACOM_LNC028177)
Source: RNAcentral